RNAcentral lists this ribosomal RNA (370 nucleotides) under uncultured eukaryote. RNAcentral's name for it is "partial 18S ribosomal RNA". It matches the Rfam family "Eukaryotic small subunit ribosomal RNA", at positions 592 to 976 of the family's 1831-position model. The record is from RNAcentral.
CAAUAGCGUAUAUUAAAGUUGUUGCAGUUAAAAAGCUCGUAGUUGGAUUUCUGGUCGGAAGCUCCUGUCCUCUGAUGAGCGUACAAGUGCGUCCUACCAUCCUUCUGUUAACCUUUAAGGCUUUCGCGGCUUUCUAGGGGCUCAGAUAUUUUACCUUGAGAAAAUUAGAGUGUUUCAGGCAGGCUAGCGCCGGAAUACAUUAGCAUGGAAUAAUGGAAUAGGACUUUUGCCUCUUCUGUUGGUCAUGAGGCUCGAGUAAUGAUUAAUAGGGAUAGUUGGGGGCAUUAGUACUUAACUGUCAGAGGUGAAAUUCUCGGAUUUGUUAAAGACUAACUUAUGCGAAAGCAUUUGCCAGGGAUGUUUUCACUGA